This 2908-nucleotide ribosomal RNA is filed under the name Enterobacter cloacae. RNAcentral's name for it is "bacterial LSU rRNA". It matches the Rfam family "Bacterial large subunit ribosomal RNA". RNAcentral also lists the same sequence under 1 other name. Lineage: Bacteria; Pseudomonadati; Pseudomonadota; Gammaproteobacteria; Enterobacterales; Enterobacteriaceae. The record is from RNAcentral.
UGAGGUUAAGCGACUAAGCGUACACGGUGGAUGCCCUGGCAGUCAGAGGCGAUGAAGGACGUGCUAAUCUGCGAAAAGCGCCGGCGAGGUGAUAUGAACCCUUGACCCGGCGAUGUCCGAAUGGGGAAACCCAGUGCAAUCCGUUGCACUAUCGUUAACUGAAUACAUAGGUUAACGAGGCGAACCGGGGGAACUGAAACAUCUAAGUACCCCGAGGAAAAGAAAUCAACCGAGAUUCCCCCAGUAGCGGCGAGCGAACGGGGAGCAGCCCGGAGUCUGAAUCAGCUUGUGUGUUAGUGGAACGGUCUGGAAAGUCCGACGGUACAGGGUGAUAGUCCCGUACACGAAAGCACACAUGCUGUGAACUCGAAGAGUAGGGCGGGACACGUGGUAUCCUGUCUGAAUAUGGGGGGACCAUCCUCCAAGGCUAAAUACUCCUGACUGACCGAUAGUGAACCAGUACCGUGAGGGAAAGGCGAAAAGAACCCCGGCGAGGGGAGUGAAAAAGAACCUGAAACCGUGUACGUACAAGCAGUGGGAGCCUCUUUAUGGGGUGACUGCGUACCUUUUGUAUAAUGGGUCAGCGACUUAUAUUCUGUAGCAAGGUUAACCGUAUAGGGGAGCCGAAGGGAAACCGAGUCUUAACUGGGCGUUAAGUUGCAGGGUAUAGACCCGAAACCCGGUGAUCUAGCCAUGGGCAGGUUGAAGGUUGGGUAACACUAACUGGAGGACCGAACCGACUAAUGUUGAAAAAUUAGCGGAUGACCUGUGGCUGGGGGUGAAAGGCCAAUCAAACCGGGAGAUAGCUGGUUCUCCCCGAAAGCUAUUUAGGUAGCGCCUCGUGAAUUCAUCUUCGGGGGUAGAGCACUGUUUCGGCUAGGGGGCCAUCCCGGCUUACCAACCCGAUGCAAACUACGAAUACCGAAGAAUGUUAUCACGGGAGACACACGGCGGGUGCUAACGUCCGUCGUGAAGAGGGAAACAACCCAGACCGCCAGCUAAGGUCCCAAAGUCAUGGUUAAGUGGGAAACGAUGUGGGAAGGCACAGACAGCCAGGAUGUUGGCUUAGAAGCAGCCAUCAUUUAAAGAAAGCGUAAUAGCUCACUGGUCGAGUCGGCCUGCGCGGAAGAUGUAACGGGGCUAAACCAUGCACCGAAGCUGCGGCAGCGACGCUUAUGCGUUGUUGGGUAGGGGAGCGUUCUGUAAGCCGUUGAAGGUGUGCUGUGAGGCAUGCUGGAGGUAUCAGAAGUGCGAAUGCUGACAUAAGUAACGAUAAAGCGGGUGAAAAGCCCGCUCGCCGGAAGACCAAGGGUUCCUGUCCAACGUUAAUCGGGGCAGGGUGAGUCGACCCCUAAGGCGAGGCCGAAAGGCGUAGUCGAUGGGAAACAGGUUAAUAUUCCUGUACUUGGUGUUACUGCGAAGGGGGGACGGAGAAGGCUAUGUCAGCCGGGCGACGGUUGUCCCGGUUUAAGCAUGUAGGCGGAGGUUCCAGGUAAAUCCGGUACCUUUUAACGCUGAGGUGUGAUGACGAGGCACUACGGUGCUGAAGUGAUAAAUGCCCUGCUUCCAGGAAAAGCCUCUAAGCAUCAGGUAACACGAAAUCGUACCCCAAACCGACACAGGUGGUCAGGUAGAGAAUACCAAGGCGCUUGAGAGAACUCGGGUGAAGGAACUAGGCAAAAUGGUGCCGUAACUUCGGGAGAAGGCACGCUGAUGUGUAGGUGAAGCCCCUGCGGGCGGAGCUGAAAUCAGUCGAAGAUACCAGCUGGCUGCAACUGUUUAUUAAAAACACAGCACUGUGCAAACACGAAAGUGGACGUAUACGGUGUGACGCCUGCCCGGUGCCGGAAGGUUAAUUGAUGGGGUUAGCGGCAACGCGAAGCUCUUGAUCGAAGCCCCGGUAAACGGCGGCCGUAACUAUAACGGUCCUAAGGUAGCGAAAUUCCUUGUCGGGUAAGUUCCGACCUGCACGAAUGGCGUAAUGAUGGCCAGGCUGUCUCCACCCGAGACUCAGUGAAAUUGAACUCGCUGUGAAGAUGCAGUGUACCCGCGGCAAGACGGAAAGACCCCGUGAACCUUUACUAUAGCUUGACACUGAACACUGGUCCUUGAUGUGUAGGAUAGGUGGGAGGCUUUGAAGCGUGGACGCCAGUCUGCGUGGAGCCGACCUUGAAAUACCACCCUUUAAUGGCUGGUGUUCUAACGUAGACCCGUAAUCCGGGUUGCGGACAGUGUCUGGUGGGUAGUUUGACUGGGGCGGUCUCCUCCCAAAGAGUAACGGAGGAGCACGAAGGUUGGCUAAUCCUGGUCGGACAUCAGGAGGUUAGUGCAAUGGCAUAAGCCAGCUUGACUGCGAGCGUGACGGCGCGAGCAGGUGCGAAAGCAGGUCAUAGUGAUCCGGUGGUUCUGAAUGGAAGGGCCAUCGCUCAACGGAUAAAAGGUACUCCGGGGAUAACAGGCUGAUACCGCCCAAGAGUUCAUAUCGACGGCGGUGUUUGGCACCUCGAUGUCGGCUCAUCACAUCCUGGGGCUGAAGUAGGUCCCAAGGGUAUGGCUGUUCGCCAUUUAAAGUGGUACGCGAGCUGGGUUUAGAACGUCGUGAGACAGUUCGGUCCCUAUCUGCCGUGGGCGCUGGAGAAUUGAGGGGGGCUGCUCCUAGUACGAGAGGACCGGAGUGGACGCAUCACUGGUGUUCGGGUUGUCAUGCCAAUGGCACUGCCCGGUAGCUAAAUGCGGAAGAGAUAAGUGCUGAAAGCAUCUAAGCACGAAACUUGCCCCGAGAUGAGUUCUCCCUGAGACUUUAAGUCUCCUGAAGGAACGUUGAAGACGACGACGUUGAUAGGUCGGGUGUGUAAGCGCAGCGAUGCGUUGAGCUAACCGAUACUAAUGAACCGUGAGGCUUAACCUU